RNAcentral lists this long non-coding RNA (36308 nucleotides) under Triticum aestivum (bread wheat). Its description in RNAcentral is "long non-coding RNA (TAES_LNC020348)". Lineage: Eukaryota; Viridiplantae; Streptophyta; Magnoliopsida; Poales; Poaceae. The record is from RNAcentral.
UUAAGCCUGGUAAGAUAUAUAGCUAGGUUGAGCAUGUAGGGUUUAUGAGUGUGGUAGGGACGAUACUACCAUUAUAAUUGCACAUACCUGGGCCUAGAGAUGCAACGACCGAGGAAAAUCUGGGUGUAGGUUUAUCCUAAAAAGGAAGAAAAGCUGGUGUGGGUUUAUCCUAAACGGGAUUUUCUUCUUUAGAGCAGGUAUCUUAGUAAAUUAAAAUAGUCAUGAGGUACAGAGGGCACACCAACAAAGGGUUAAUAACGAUAUCCAUAGAGCACGAAAAUAGCCUAGUUCAGAUCAUAAAUAAGGAAAUGUAUGAUUGGGGGUUGCCAAACACUUGGUUUGCAAACAUGCGACAAACAUAGUAACAGGCUAUUCUGGGCACUUGGCCAAUUGUGUGAAAACAACAAUGGCAAAGCAGUUUUCACUUGUCUUUGUGCAUAGGGCUUUAGUUGUUAGAUCCAAAUCAGCAAAGUGCAGCCUCCAUGGCGUUAGCAUGUGCAAUCGCAAGAGCAUCAUCAUCAACAUUAGUGGACGCAGAUCCCUGUGACAUGGGCAACUUAAUUAUUAGAAAUUCCGAAAGAAGAAACCAUGGAAAAGAAAGAAGAAUCUAAAUUUAGUAGAAAUACUAAUAGCAGAUGAAAGAUAGGAUUUAGCAAAGUUAGCGUUAUGACCUGCCCAUAAUAUUUUUUCUGCCAAACAAGGAUAUGUGCAUGGGGCAGACUCCUCUUCUGGAAGUCCACGGAGUGGAGGACUGGAAAACAAGAGGGCAAGUGAAGAACAGGGAAAUUAAGAUGCAUGGAGAAGAAAAAGUUAAGGAAACCAAGGGAAGACACUGGCUACAUUACCAGUAACUACAUGCCCAAACACCUGUCUAGUCUUAAUUUUUUCCACGUACUCAAGGAGUUUCAGUUGAUACACUUGAGCAGUAAAAUCAGCUUCAUCGACUGCCUGUUGUCACUGCUCAAGACCCUGAACUAUCGCAGGCCAGUUUGGAUCAUACGUGAAGUCUGUGAAUAUAUUAGGUGAGCCAUGGACACGUGAAACAGCAACAGCAUUGUGGAAGUUUUCAGUCAUGCAGCGAAGUUUGCCCGCAUAAGAUAUUGGCAUUAUAUUUUUCUUGUUGACCUCAGACUCGGUAGCUCUAUCAAAUCCAUUAGCAUCAGCAACAUACUGGUGAUUUUCAGUGUUCAUGUUGUCCUGAAGAUUUUUACAGCAUGUUAGUUGAGAAGUGAGAAUAUCAUGCAGUGGUGUAAUGGUGUUUCAUCGAAGGCAGGAAAGCACAUACACGAGGUAAAUAGCAAGCAGAGACGAUAGGAUAGCAAGCAAUCUAUGGUUAAUAUAAGUAGAUGAAUCUUCUAUAUUUAUAGAUGGAUGAAGCAAAAUGUGCGGUGCUUGGUGAGUAAUAGACGAUUCAGUAGUUGGUAUAUGUAAUUUUAUGAGCAUGAACAAGCCAGGAAAAUAAAGAAUUUGCUGCAGUAUAAGAAAACCAUGAACUCGAGCGGAGUGCUUGAAGGAAAUAUGCCCUAGAGGCAAUAAUAAAGUUAUUAUUUAUUUCCUUAUUUCAUGAUAAAUGUUUAUUAUUCAUGCUAGAAUUGUAUUAAACGGAAACAUAAUACAUGUGUGAAUACAUAGACAAACAGAGUGUCACUAGUAUGCCUCUACUUGACUAGCUCGUUGAUCAAAGAUGGUUAAGUUUCCUAACCAUAGACAUGAGUUGUCAUUUGAUUAAAGGGAUCACAUCAUUAGGAGAAUGAUGUGAUUGACUUGACCCAUUCCGUUAGCUUAGCACUUGAUCGUUUAGUUUGUUGUUAUUGCUUUCUUCAUGACUUAUACAUGUUCCUAUGACUAUGAGAUUAUGCAACUCCCGUUUACCGGACGAACACUUUGUGUGCUACCAAACGUCACAGCGUAACUGGGUGAUUAUAAAGGUGCUCUACAGGUGUCUCCAAAGGUACUUGUUGGGUUGGCGUAUUUCGAGAUUAGGAUUUGUCACUCCGAUUGUCGGAGAGGUAUCUCUGGGCCCACUCGGUAAUGCACAUCACUAUAAGCCUUGCAAGCAUUGCAACUAAUGAGUUAGUUGCGGGAUGAUGCGUUAUGGAACGAGUAAAGAGACUUGCCGGUAAUGAGAUUGAACUAGGUAUUGAGAUACCAACGAUCGAAUCUCGGGCAAGUGACAUACCGAUGACAAAGGGAACAAUGUAUGUUGCUAUGCGGUCUGACCGAUAAAGAUCUUCGUAGCAUAUGUAGGAGCCAAUAUGGGCAUCCAGGUCCCGCUAUUGGUUAUUGAUCAGAGAGGUGUCUCGGUCAUGUCUACAUAGUUCUCGAACCCGUAGGGUCCGCACGCUUAACGUUCGUUGAUGAUAUAGUACUAUAUGAGUUAUGUAUGUUGAUGACCGAAUGUUGUUCGGAGUCCGGGAUGAGAUCACGGACAUGACGAGGAACUCCGGAAUGGUCCGGAGAUAAAGUUUGAUAUAUAGGAUAAUAGUGUUUGGUCACCGGAAGGGUUUCGGAAUUCACCGGAAGGGGUUCCGGAUGUUUCCCGAAAUGUUUGGGUACGAGAACACUUUAUCUGGGCCAAAGGGGAAAGCCCACAAGGUUUUUGGAAAGCGCAAAAGGAAGUUUUGCGGAGUCCAGGGGCCAGACGCCAGGGUCCCUCGCGUCUGGGGCCAGACGCCGGGAACCCUGGCAUCUGGCCGUGGAGUCCGAGAAGGACUCUUGCCUUUCGGGUGAAACCGACUUUGUGGAGGCUUUUACUCCAAGUUUCGACCCCAAGGCUCAACAUAUAAGUAGAGGGGUAGGGCUAGCACCCAAGACACAUCAAGAAACACCAAGCCGUGUGCCGGCAACCCCGUCCCCUCUAGUUUAUCAUCCGUCCUAGUUUUUGUAGUGCUUAGGCGAAGCCCUGCGGAGAUUGUUCUUCACCAACACCGUCACCACGCCGUCGUGCUGUCGGAACUCAUCUACUACUUCGCCCCUCUUGCUGGAUCGAGAAGGCAAGGACGUCAACGAGCCAAAUGUGUGCAGAACUCGGAGGUGCCGUGCUUACGGUACUUGGAUCGGUCGGAUCGUGAAGACGUACGACUACAUCAACCGCGUUGAUAUAACGCUUCCACGAACGGUCUACGAGGGUACGUAGAGAACACUCUCCCCUCUCGUUGCUAUGCAUCACCAUGAUCUUGUGUGUGCGUAGGAAAUUUUUGAAAUUACUACGUUCCCCGACGAUGGUAUCAAAGCCAGGUUUUAUGCGUAGAUGUCAUAUGCACGAGUAGAACACAAGUGAGUUGUGGGAGAUAUAAGUCAUACUGCUUACCAGCAUGUCAUACUUUGGUUCUGCGGUAUUGUUGGAUGAAGCGGCCCGGAUCGACAUUAUGCGUACGCUUACGCGAGACUGGUUCUACCGACGUGCUUUGCACACAGGUGGAUGGCGGGUGUCAGUUUCUCCAACUUUAGUUGAACCGAGUGUGGCUACGCCUGGUCCUUGCGAAGGUUAAAACAGCACCAACUUGACAAACUAUCGUUGUGGUUUUGAUGCGUAGGUAAGAACGGUUCUUGCUAAGCUCGUAGCAGCCACAUAAAAUUUGCAACAACAAAGUAGAGGACGUCUAACUUGUUUUUGCAGGGCAUGUUGUGAUGUGAUAUGGUCAAGACAUGAUGCUAAAUUUUAUUGUAUGAGAUGAUCAUGUUUUGUAACCAAGUUAUCGGCAACUGGCAGGAGCCAUAUGGUUGUCGCUUUAUUGUAUGCAAUGCAAUCGCCCUGUAAUGCUUUACUUUAUCACUAAGCGGUAGCGAUAGUCGUGGAAGCAUAAGAUUGGCGAGACGACAACGAUGCUAUGAUGGAGAUCAAGGUGUCGCGCCGAUGAUGAUGGUGAUCAUGAAGGUGCUUCAAAGAUGGAGGUCACAAGCACAAGAUGAUGAUGGCCAUAUCAUAUCACUAGUAUUGAUUACAUGUGAUGUUUAUCUUUUAUGCAUCUUAUCUUGCUUUGAUUGAUGGUAGCAUUAUAAGAUGAUCCCUCACUAAAUUAUCAAAGUAUAAGACUUCUCCCUGAGUAUGCACCGUUGCGAAAGUUCUUCGUGCUGAGACACCACGUGAUGAUCGGGUGUGAUAGGCUCUACAUUCAAAUACAACGGGUGCAAAACAGUUGCACAUGCGGAAUACUUAGGUUAAACUUGACGAGCCUAGCAUAUAACAGAUAUGGCCUCGGAACACGGAGACCGAAAGGUCGAGCGUGAAUCAUAUAGUAGAUAUGAUCAACAUAGUGAUGUUCACCGUUGAUACUACUCCAUCUCACGUGAUGAUUGGACAUGGUUUAGUUGAUAUGGAUCACGUGAUCACUUAGAGGAUUAGAGGGAUGUCUAUAUAAGUGGGAGUUCUUAAAUAAUAUGAUUAAAUUGAACUUAAAUUUAUCAUGAACUUAGUACCUGAUAGUAUCUUGCGUGUCUAUGUUGAUUGUAGAUAGAUGGCCCGUGUUGUUGUUCCGUUGAAUUUUAAUGUGUUCCUUGAGAAAGCAAAGUUGAAAGAUGAUGGUAGCAAUUACACGGACUGGGUCCAUAACUUGAGGAUUAUCCUCAUUCCUGCACAGAAGAAUUACGUCCUGGAAGCACCGCUAAGUGCCAAGUGCUACCUCUUGAGCUUGCGUUGGAUUUCCCCGAAGAGGAAGGGAUGAUGCAGCAGAGUAGCGUAAGUAUUUCCCUCAGUUUUUGAGAACCAAGGUAUCAAUCUAGUAGGAGGCCACGCUCAAGUCCUUCGUACCUGCACAAAACGAGAGCUACUCGCAACCAACGCGAUUAGGGGUUGUCAAUCCCUUCACGGUCACCUACGAGAGUGAGAUCUGAUAGAUAUAAUAUUUUUGGUAUUUUUGGUAUAGAGAUGCAAAGUGAAAAGUAAAAGGCAAAGUAAAAAGCAAAGCAAGAUUAAAGUGAUGGAGAUUGAUAUGAUGAGAAUAGACCCGGGGGCCAUAGGUUUCACUAGUGGCUUCUCUCAAGAGCAUAAGUAUUCUACGGUGGGUGAACAAAUUACUGUUGAGCAAUUGACAGAAUUGAGCAUAGUUAUGAGAAUAUCUAGGCAUGAUCGUGUAUAUAGGCAUCAUGUCCAUGACAAGUAGACCGAAACGAUUCUCCAUCUACUACUAUUACUCCACUGAUCGACCGCUAUCUAGCAUGCAUCUAGAGUAUUAAGUUAAAAACAGAGUAACGCCUUAAGCAAGAUGACAUGAUGUAGAGAGAUAAAUUCAUGCAAUAUGAAAUAAACCCCAUCUUGUUAUCCUCCAUGGCAACGAUACAAUACGUGCCUUGCUGCCCCUUUUGUCACUGGGAAAGGACACCGCAAGAUCGAACCCAAAGCUAAGCACUUCUCCCAUGGCAAGUGAGGGAGUCCUGGAUUAGGGGGUGUCCGGAUGGCCGGACUAUACCUUCAGCCGGACUCCUGGACUAUGAAGAUACAAGAUUGAAGACUUCGUCCUGUGUCCGGAAGGGACUUUCCUUGGCGUGGAAGGCAAGCUUGGCGAUACGGGUAUAUAGAUCUCCUACCAUUGUAAUCGACUUUGUGUAACCCUAACCCUCUCCGGUGUCUAUAUAAACCGGAGGGUUUUAGUCCGUAGGACAACAUACAGAACAACAAUCAUACCAUAGGCUAGCUUCUAGGGUUUAGCCUCUCCGAUCUCGUGGUAGAUCUACUCUUAUACUACCCAUAUCAUCAAUAUUAAUCAAGCAGGACGUAGGGUUUUACCUCCAUCAAGAGGGCCCGAACCUGGGUAAAACUUCGUGUCCCUUGCCUCCUGUUACCAUCCGGCCUAGACGCACAGUUCGGGACCCCCUACCCGAGAUCCGCCGGUUUUGACAUCGACAUUGGUGCUUUCAUUGAGAGUUCCUCUGUGUCGUCGCCGUCAGGCUUGAUGGCUCCUAUGAUCAUCAAUGGCGAUGCAGUCCAGGGUGAGACCUUCCUCCCCAGAUAGAUCUUCGUCUUCGGUGGCUUCGCACUACGGGCCAAUUCACUUGGCCAUCUGGAGCAGAUCGAAAGCUACGCCCCUGGCCAUCAGGUCCGAUUUGGAAGUUUAAACUACACGGCUGACAUUCGCGGGGACUUGAUCUUCGACGGAUUCAAGCCACUGCCGCGCGCGCCGCACUGUCACGACAAGCAUGAUCUACCUCUGCCACCGGACAGUGCCCUGGAGGCCGCACCCGCAUCGGCUUCGACCCUUAAUUCGGAGCCAACUGCGCCGAUCGAGGAUGGGCGGUUGGACACCGCCUCGGGGGCUGCGAUCCCAACGGCGAUCGAGCCGAACACCAGCCCCGCACCCCGCGAGACUCGUGACUCCAAGGAGCCGGACUCCUCUCUGGACUCCGAACCCUCCGCGCCCCUGCCGAUCGAAUCCGAUUGGGCGCCGAUCAUGGAGUUUACUGCCGUAGACAUCUUUCAGCACUCGCCUUUCGGCGAUAUUUUGAAGACACUGAAGUCUCUCUCUUUAUCAGGAGAGCCUUGGCCGGACUACGGUCAGCAAGGUUGGGAUACGAAUGAUGAAGAAAUUCAAAGCCCACCCACCACCCACUUUGUAGCCACUGUCGACGAUUUAACCGACAUGCUCGACUUCGACUCAGAAGACAUCGACGGUAUGGACACCGAUGCAAGAGACGAUGAAGAACCAGCGCCUAUUAGGCCCUGGAAAGCCACCUCGUCAUAUGACAUAUACAUGGUGGACACCCCAAAAGAAGGAGAUGGUGAUGGAACAGCGGAGGAUGACCCCUCCAAGAAACAGCCUAAGCGCUGGCGUCAGCGGCGCCGCUCAAAAUCCCGCCAAAACAAAUACGGUGAUUCCAGCACGGGAGAUAAUAAUACUCCAAAGAAUGCCAAAGAAAAUCCCCUCCAGCAAGAUUCAGCACAGGAGGAUGAAGAAGCCAGCCCUCAUGAGAGAGCAGCAGACAGAGAGGUCGAGGACGAUAAUUAUGCGCCUCCCUCCGAAGAUGAGGCAAGCCUCGACGACGACGAAUUCGUAGUGCCAGAGGAUCCCGCCGAACAAGAGCGUUUUCAAUGCAGGCUUAUGGCCACGGCAAGAAGCCUCAAGAAAAAACAGCAACAGCUUAGAGCUGAUCAAGAUUUGCUAGUCGACAGAUGUACUGAAGUCCUUGCAGCCGAAGAGCGUAAACUCGAACGCCCCUCCAAGAGCUACCCAAAGCGCAGGUUGCUACCCCGAUUAGUGGGGGAAGCACUUAAACCUACAUCACCAGCACUUGAUACGGCUGACCGGCCACCUCGUGGCCGCGACAGAGAGGCCUCUCGGCCCUCCACUCAAGUCGCACCCCGUACCAAGGCAUGGGAAAAUGCGUCAGACCUGCGAGAUAUGUUGGAGGACAAGGAAAGGCAAACAAGAUCGAUCUACGGAUCGCGUGGGCGCCCCAUGACUCGAGACGGUAACCGUCACGCCGGACACAAAUCCGGUAGGGCCGAACAGAGUAGACAAAGCUCAUUGGAGCUACGUCGUGAUAUAGCCCAGUAUAGAGGCGCCGCACACCCACUAUGCUUCACAAACGAAGUAAUGGAUCAUCAAAUCCCCGAGGGUUUCAAACCCGUAAACAUCGAAUCAUAUGAUGGCACAACAGAUCCUGCGGUAUGGAUCGAGGAUUAUCUCCUUCAUAUCCACAUGGCCCGCGGCGAUGAUCUCCACGCCAUCAAAUACCUCCCACUCAAACUUAAAGGACCAGCUCAGCAUUGGCUUAACAGCUUGCCAGCAGGAUCAAUCGGUUGUUGGGAGGACCUGGAAGCCGCAUUCCUUGACAAUUCCAGGGCACUUAUGUGCGACCACCAGAUGCCAAUGACCUAAGCCACGUAAUUCAGCAGCCAGAGGAAUCGGCCAGGCAAUUCUGGACAUGGUUCCUAACAAAGAAAAAUCAAAUAGUCAACUGUCCGGACGCUGAGGCCCUAGCAGCCUUCAAACACAAUAUCCGUGGCGAGUGGCUUGCCCGGCACCUUGGACAGGAAAAGCCGAAAUCUAUGGCAGCACUCACGACACUCAUGACCCGCUUUUGCACGGGAGAAGACAGCUGGCUUGCUUGUAGCAACAAUAUGACCAAGAACCCUAGUAAUUCGGAUAUCAGGGACAGUAGUGGCAGGUCGCGUCACAACAAGCAGAAGCGCCGCACUAACGGCGACAAUGCUGAGGAUACGGCAGUUAAUGCCAGAUUCAGAGGCUAUAAAUCCGGUCAGCGGAAAAAGCCAUUCAAAAGAAAUCCUAGGCGCCCGUCCAGUCUGGACCGAAUACUCGAUCGCUUAUGCUAGAUACAUGGCACCCCCGAAAAGCCGGCAAAUCACACCAACAAGGAUUGUUGGGUGUUCAAGCAGGCAGGCAAGUUAAAUGCCGAAAAUACCGACAAGGGGGUGCAUAGCGAUGACGACGAAGAGCCCCGGCCACCGAACAACAGUGGACAGAAGGGUUUUCCCCCACAAGUGCGGACGGUGAACAUGAUAUACGCAACCCACAUCCCCAAGAGGGAGCGGAAGCGCGCGUUAAGGGACGUAUACGCGGUAGAGCCAGUCGCCCCAAAGUUCAACCCAUGGUCCUCCUGCCCGAUCACCUUUGAUCGAAGGGACCAUCCCACUAGCACCCGUCAUGGCAGAUUCGCCGCAUUGGUUCUAGACCCAAUUAUUGACGGAUUUCAUCUCACUAGAGUCCUUAUGGACGGCGGCAGUAGCCUGAACCUGCUUUACCAGGAUACAGUGCAGAAAAUGGGCAUAGAUCCCUCGAGGAUUAAGCCCACCAAAACGACCCUUAAAGGCGUAAUACCAGGUGUAGAGGCCAACUGUACAGGCUCAGUCACACUUGAAGUGGUCUUCGGAUAUCCGGAUAAUUUCCGAAGCGAGGAGUUAAUCUUCGACAUAGUCCCAUUCCGCAGUGGCUAUCAUGCACUACUCGGACGAACCGCAUUCGCCAAGUUCAAUGCGGUACCGCACUACACAUACCUUAAGCUCAAGAUGCCAGGCCCUCGAGGAGUAAUUACGGUCAAUGGAAACACCAAACUCUCCCUCCGAACGGAGGAGCACACGGAGGCCCUUGCAGCGGAAGUACAAAGCAGCCUCUCCAGGCAGUUCUCUAGUCCGGACAUUAAACGUCCGGACACCGUCAAGCGCGCCCGGAGUAACCUACAACAAGACCGCCUGGCACGUUCCGAGCAGGCGUAGCAAUGCGGCCCCAACCCUAGCCCUCGCAAAAAUGCGACACCAGUACUUUGCGUACAUAACUACGCUCUAGAAAUACCAUGGGUACAGGGGGAGGGGCACCAUCAUGGCACGCCCGAAACACGGCUUAAACCGCACCAGGGGCUGCCAAUUUUUUAAUUUUCUCUUACUUUCAGGACUCCACUCUUUGGAAGGCCUGUUCGGCAGUUCAAUUGCCGCACAAACGAUGCAAGAACCAGGGAAGCAGACAAGCCAUGCCGCAUUACAGAACUCCCAGGUGGUCUCUAUGAUGAGCAGUAUACCCGUUCCGCAUACCAUUCCGCAGCCUGCCCCUGGAACGGACAUGUUAAAAUAGUCCAACCUUUUGCUUAUCGCAUUAUUUGUAUCGUUCUGCUUUGAUCGCAGCCCUUUUUUAUAAACAAUGCAUAGCUUCUGUCUAUUUUUGCAUUACUCUUUUUUUUACAAAUAUAUGUUCCUUGACGACAUGUUGCACCCGUACACUUUGGUACAGCCAAAAUACGCCAGGGGCUUUAGUACCCCUCAAUAUGGUGUGAGAAAUCCAAACACUUUAACAAGUGCGGCACCCCGAACUUAUAGCAUUAUAUGCAUCGGCUCCGAAUCAUGUCUUGGGUCAAUAGUUGGGUUUGCCCAGCUCCUAUGUUUUGGUGCCUUACGUUCCGCUAUGUCGGCUAAGGUAGCACUAGGAGAACUACUGCGAUUAUGCCCCAGUUGAGCUGGGUCGAGCACCUCAGUAGAGAAAGCUAAAACUGACUGUCAUGAUGAAGCAAGAGCUAGUCGCUGUUCGAGAGGUUUUUCGAGUCCUUAAAGACUUAUGCCGCUUAGAGCGAGGAGUCGGCUCUGUCCGGCCAAGGCGUGGAUAGCGCCCCGGACUCGGUCUUCCGAAUACCAGGGGCUUCGCUGAAAUUUAAAAUUAUAGAAUUCUAUGGCUAAGUGAGAUUGCUCAAGCAUUAUAGUCCGAUUGCCUUGUUCGUUGUGCUGAGCGCCUCCCUCGAAGGACCCAAACAUGGGAAAAAGAGCGCUCAGGUUUAUCCCCGAACACCCCAGCACUAGCGGCACGGGGGCAGAAGCCGACGACUCGCCAUCUCUCAGAAUUGAUAAAUAGCCGCACAAAAGGUAAUAUUUUAAAUUCCAACAGCAUUGCUUAGCGCAUAUGAACAAGUUUUCAGCGCACAGGACAAAAUGAGCGAGUUUUACUCAAAAAUUACAUCCCUGGAACAUUCAUCCGCCAUAAGGCAGGCACCCUUCGGAACAUCCUUAUAAUAAUUCUCGGGCUUGCGAUGCUCUUUCCCCGGCGGUGGCCCGUCCUUCACAAGCUUCUCAACAUCCAGCUUGCCCCAGUGCACCUUAGCACGGGCAAGGGCCCUACGGGCACCUUCAAUGCAGACGGAGCGCUUGAUGACUUCGAGCCUUGGACAGGCCCCCACCAGCCGCUGCACCAGCCCGAAAUAGCUCCCAGGCAGAGCCUCUCCAGGCCACAGCCGAACUAUGAGGCCCUUCAUGGCCUGUUCAGCCGCCUUGUGGAGCUCGACCAGUUGCUUCAGCUGGUCGCUCAGGGGCAUGGGGUGUCCGGCCUCAGCAUACUGAGACCAGAACACCUUCUCUGUCGAGCUGCCCUCCUCGGCUUGAUAAAAGGCGGCAGCAUCGGACACGCUAUGGGGAAGAUCCGCGAAGGCUCCUGGAGAACUCCGGAUUCGGGUAAGUAACAAGUAACUCACGUUUACAUGUCUACUUUGCAUAAAGAAUGCCUUACCUGCCGCUAUCUUUUUCACCGCAUCCAACUCCUGGAGGGUCUUCUGGGAUUCGGCCUUGGCAGACUUGGCAUCUUUAAUAGCCACCGCAAGCUCGGACGCUCGCAUCUUUGAGUCAAGCUCCAAACUCUCAUGUUUUUUCAUGAGAACCUGGAGCUCUUGCCGCACAUUGCCAACCUCGUCCUCAUACUUCUCCCGCUCGAUGCGCUCCGUGGCCACCCUCUUCUCGGCCUCGACCAGCGCUUGCUUAAGGGUCGCCACCUCAGACGUGGCCCCUACAAUAGCCACGAUGAUCCUGUCAUUUUUUGCAAUUGCACUUUUUUAUAUAUAUUUAGAACAAGGUAUUUCUUACCUUCCUUCUCCUCGAGCUGCUUCUUGGCACGCCCGAGCUCUUGCUCGGACUGCUCGAGGUUCUGCUUUAGCGUAUCCACUUCCGCAGUCAGUACGGCAGACGCUAGCAGAGAAGCCUGCAUACGCAUAUUGACUCCUUUUUGUUAGACUCAGGGCUACUGUCUAUGCGGUAAUAUUAUUUACACAUUCUUUACUUACCUCAAAGGCUAGUACAAGCUUCAGUUAGUCCGCUCUUGGCGGACUGAACCUUCUGGACCACCGCACACAUAAUGGUGCGGUGCUCCACGUUGAUGGAGGCGCCUUUGAGCACCUCCAACAGAUUGUCCGGCGCCUCCGGUUGGACGAGGGUCACCGGCAUGGUGGGCUUGCUCCUCUUGGAAGGAGGUCGCCCGCCGGACUCGGGAACCUUUGAAGGUUCCGGAGCGGUGUCCGGCCUAGGGCCGGACUUGGAGCCCUGGGGGGUUUCAUCCCCCUUUACUCCUGGAGUCCGGGAGGUCGCCUUGCGGCGCCUCCAGCACCACCUCCUCCCGGCUUGGAACCUGUUGGGACAACACUUCGGUGUCGUCCGUAGGGCGGGGGGAGGAAGCCGUCGGAAGCAAAUUCACAUCCGACGAGUCCAGUGAACCGCUCGACGACGCGUCGAGCCGGUCUUUGGGUGGGCUGCAUAAACAUAUUCGACAUAAGGGAAAGCGGUGAAAUAAGGGAAUACUAUGAAUUACUCUGGUAUCCGGAUACUUACAAUUUAUCCGGGGGCUUGGCCCUGAGCGGCCACUCCUCUCCGUCAUCGUCGGCGUCGGUGGAGUAGUCCGGGGGAAGGGUUUUCCCCUUCUUGGACCCUUCGGCCUCCCUAGUUGGGGCAGCCUUCCUUUUCUUCCCUUCCCCCACUGGGCGGGGAGAGGUCUCUUCUUCCUCCUCCUCGUCUUCACGCGAGGAAUGCGCCUUGGAGUCGUCGGAUGAUGAACCCGACACCUCCUGGCGUCGGGCACUCUUUCGAGUCCCAGUGGCCUUCUUCGUGGACUUCUUCUCCGGCACCACAUGGAGUGCCGGAACCAGCAGCUUCGCCAAGCGGGCAUCGGCUGGGUCUUCGGGCAAAGGAGCCGGACAGUCGAUCUGUCCGGACUUCGCCUGCCAAACCUGUCAAAGGUAAGGGAGCUUAGAUCCCGCAUAGAGUUAAACUAUGUAAAAGGUACAAACAACUUACCGCGCUAGCGUGACGCUGCGCGCUGAAUCCGCGAUCCUCGGUAGCGGAUGCGGGAGCCUCGGCGCCCUUGAAAAGCACCUUGCAGGCAUCUUCGUACGUCGUGUCGAAGAGCCUGCUCAGAGUUUGGUGCUGCGCCGGGUUGAACUCCCACAGAUUGAAGGCCCGUUGUUGACACGGGAGGAUCAGGCGGAUGAGCAUAACCUGGACUACGUUGACAAGCUUGAGCUGCUUGUCCGCCAGGGUUUGGAUGCAUGUUUGCAAUCUAGUCACCUCUCCUUUGCUGUCCCACGACAGGCCCGUCUCCUUCCAGGACGUGAGCCGCGUUGGGGGUCCGGAUCGGAACACGGGGGCUGCGACCCACUCAGGGUCGCGUGGCUCGGUGAUGUAAAACCACCCCGAUUGCCACCCCUUCAGGGUCUCCACAUAGGAGCCCUCGAGCCAUAAGACGUUGGGCAUCUUGCCCACCAUAGCGCCUCCGCACUCCGCCUGGUUGCUGUGCACCACCUUCGGCUUGACGUUGAAAGUCUUAAGCCAUAGGCCAAAAUGGGGGCGAAUGCAGAGGAAAGCCUCGCACACGAUGAUAAACGCCGAGAUGUUGAGGAUGAAGUUCGGGGCCAGAUCAUGGAAAUCCAGGCCGUAGUAGAACAUGAGUCCCCGGACGAAUGGGUGGAUAGGAAAGCCCAGUCUGCGGAGGAAGUGGGGAAGGAACACUACCCUCUCAUGGGGCCUUGGGGUGGGGAGGAGCUGCCCCUCUUCGUGGAGCCGGUGCGCGAUGUCGUUAGACAAGUAUCCGGCCUUCCUCAGUUUUUUGAUGUGUCCCUCCGUGACGGAGGAGACCAUCCACUAGCCUCCUGCUCCGGACAUGGCUGGAAAACGUUGAGGUGGGGAGUGCGGACUUGGGCGCUGGAGCUCGAGUGCGCGAGAAUGGAUAGGCAAAGGAGGAAGAAGGCGUAGGUGAAAAGGUGGAUCCUUAUCCCCUUAUAUGGGUGGACGCAACUACGUAUCCCCACCAGCCUGGUAAAACUCGCUUAUCUCCAAGCGCCGUAAUCAAUGGCGCGGUUGGGUUACCCACGCCCGUAUUGAUGAGAACCCCGGAAUAAGGGGACACGAUCUCUGCUUUAACAAGACGUGCCAAGGAAACCACCUCGCAUGACGCGCUGAGGUGGGGUAAUAAAACGAUUCGGAUAAAAGCUUGGUCGUGGUGUGUCACACUAUGGAAUACGUCAGCAGAUUAGAUUUGUGUAAAUAUUAUUCUCUCUAUGGCAAUAUGUGGAAACUUAUUUUGCAGGGCCGGACACUAUCUUUGUGUUCAAAAUCUUCUAUGAAGUACUUGGAGGAGGAACCCGCCUUGCAAUGCCGAAGACAAACUGCCGCCGGACUAGUCGUCAUUGAAGCCUGGUUCAGGGGCUACUGAGGGAGUCCUGGAUUAGGGGGUGUCCGGAUGGCCGGACUAUACCUUCAACCGGACUCCUGGACUAUGAAGAUACAAGAUUGAAGACUUCGUCCCGUGUCCGGAAGGGACUUUCCUUGGCAUGGAAGGCAAGCUUGGCGAUACGAAUAUAUAGAUCUCCUACCAUUGUAACCGACUUUGUGUAACCCUAACCCUCUCCGGUGUCUAUAUAAACCGGAGGGUUUUAGUCCGUAGGACAACAUACAGAACAACAAUCAUACCAUAGGCUAGCUUCUAGGGUUUAGCCUCUCCGAUCUCGUGGUAGAUCUACUCUUGUACUACCCAUAUCAUCAAUAUUAAUCAACCAGGACGUAGGGUUUUACCUCCAUCAAGAGGGCCCGAACCUGGGUAAAACUUCGUGUCCCUUGCCUCCUGUUACUAUCCGGCCUAGACGCACAGUUCGGGACCCCCUACCCGAGAUCCGCCGGUUUUGACACCGACAACAAGAACUACCAAUCUAGUUGGCCAAACCAAACGGAUAAUUCAAAGAGACUUGCAAAGAUAACCAAUCAUACAUAAAAUAAUUCAGAGAAGAUUCAAAUAUUAUUAAUAGAUAGACUUGAUCAUAAACCCACAAUUCAUCGGUCUCAACAAACACACCGCAAAAAGAAGAUUACAUCGAAUAGAUCUCCACAAGAGAGGGGGAGAACUUUGUAUUGAGAUCCAAAAAGAGAGAAGAAGCCAUCUAGCUACUAACUAUGGACCCGAAGGUCUGAGGUAAACUACUCACACUUCAUCGGAGAGGCUAUGAUGAUGUAGAAGCCCUCCAUGAUGACGGCCCUCUCCGUCGGAGCUCCGGAACAGGCCCCAAGAUGGGAUCUCAUGGAUACAGAAAGUUGCGGCGGUGGAAUUAGGUUUUUGGCUCCUAUUCUGAUCGUUCGGGGGUACGUAGGUAUAUAUAGGAGGAAGGAGUACGUCGGUGGAGCUCUGAGGGGCCCACGAGGCAGGGAGCGCGCCCUAGGGGGGCCCCACCCUUGUGACCACCUCUCUGAUGCCUUGGCGUAGGGUCCAAGGCUCUUGGAUCACGUUCGGUGAGAAAAUCACGUUCCCGAAGGUUUCAUUCCGUUUGGACUCCAUUUGAUAUUCCGUUUCUUCGGAACACUGAAAUAGGCAAAAAAAUAGCAAUUCUGGGCUGGGCCUCCGGUUAAUAGGUUAGUCCCAAAAAUAAUAUAAAAGUGGAAAAUAAAGCCCAAUAUAGUCCAAAACAGUAUAUAAUAUAGCAUGGAGCAAUCAAAAAUUAUAUAUACGUUGGAGACGUAUCAGGCAUCCCCAAGCUUAAUUCCUGCUCGUCCUCGAGUAGGUAAAUGAUAAAAAGAGAUUUUUUGAUGCGGAGUGCUACUUGGCAUAAUUUUAAUGCAAAUCUUCUUAAUUGUGAUAUUAAUAUUCAGAUUUGAAAGAUUCAAGGCAAAAGUUUAUAUUGACAUAAAAAUUAUAAUACUUCAAGCAUACUAACAAAGCAAUUAUGUCUUCUCAAAAUAACAUGGCCAAAGAAAGUUAUCCCUACAAAAUCAUAUAGUCUGGCUAUGCUUUAUCUUCACCACACAAAGUAUUUAAAUCAUGCACCACCCCUAUGACAAGACAAGCAAUUGUUUCAUACUCUAACUUUUUCAAAACUUUUUUCAAUCUUCACGCAAUACAUGAGUGUGAGCCAUGGAUAUAGCACUAUAGGUGGAAUAGAAUGGUGGUUGUGGAGAAGACAAAAAAGGAGAAGAUAGCCUCACAUCAACUAGGCGUAUCAACGGGCUAUGGAUAUGCCCAUCAAUAGAUAUCAAUGUGAGUGAGUAGGGAUUGCCAUGCAACGGAUGCACUAGAGCUAUAAGUAUAUGAAAGCUCAAAAAGAAACUAAGUGGGUGUGCAUCCAACUUGCUUGCUCAUGAAGACCUAGGGUAAUUUGAGGAAGCCCAUCAUUGGAAUAUACAAGCCAAGUUCUAUAAUGAAAGAUUCCCACUAGUAUAUGAAAGUGAUAACAUGAGAGACUCUCUACUAUGAAGAUCAUGGUGCUACUUUGAAGCACAAGUGUGGUAAGAGGAUAGUAACAUUGUCCCUUCUCUCUUUUUCUCUCAGUUUUUUGGGCCUUUUCUCUUUUUUUAUAUGGCCUCUUUUUCUUUCUCUUUUUAUUUGGGUUUCUUUGGCCUCUUUUAUUUAUUUUUCGUCCGGAGGCUCAUCCCAACUUAUGGGGGAAUCAUAGUCUCCAUCAUCCUUUCCUCACUGGGACAAUGCUCUAAUAAUGAUGAUCAUCACACUUUUAUUUUUCUUACAACUCAACUAUUACAACUCGAUACUUAGAACAAAAUAUGACUCUAUAUGAAUGCCUUCGGCGGUGUACCGGGAUAUGCAAUAUGACAAUGAUGAAUGUGUCAUGAACAGAACGGUGGAAAGUUGCAUGGCAAUAUAUCUCAGAAUGGCUAUGGAAAUGCCAUAAUAGGUAGGUAUGGUGGCUGUUUUGAGGAAGGUAUAUGGUAGGUGUAUGAUACCGGUGAAAAGUGCGCGGUAUUAGAGAGGCUAGCAAAGGUGGAAGGGUGAGAGUGCGUAUAAACCAUGGACUCAACAUUAGUCAUAAAGAACUCAUAUACUUAUUGCAAAAAUCUGGAAGUUAUCAAAGCAAAGUAUUACGCGCAUGCUCCUAGGGGGAUAGAUUGGUAGGAAAAGACCAUCGCUCGUCCCCGACCGCCACUCAUAAGGAAGACAAUCAAUAAAUAAAUCAUGCUCCGACUUCAUCACAUAACGGUUCACCAUACGUGCAUGCUACGGUAUUCACAAACUUUAACACACGUAUUCUUUAAAUUCACAACUACUCAACUAGCAUGACUUUAAUAUUAUCACCUCCAUAUCUCAAAACAAUUAUCAUGCUUCAAUCUUUUCUUAGUAUUCAACACACUCAAAAGAAAGUUUCAGAAAUCUUGAAUACCAAGCAUAUUAUUAUUAAGCAAAUUACCAUGCUAUUAAGAGACUCUAAAAAUAAUUUAAGUGAAGCAUGAGAGCUCAAUAGUUUCUUUAAAACAAAUCCACCACCAUGCUCUAAAAGAUCUAAGUGAAGCACAUAGAGCAAAAUUAUAACGCUCAAAAGAUAUAAGUGAAGCACAUAGAGCAAAACUACAUAGCUCAAAAGAUAUAAGUGAAGCACAUAGAGUAUUCUAUCAAAUUUUAAUUCAUGUAUGGAUCUCUCAAAAGGUGUGUACAGCAAGGAUGAUUGUGGCAUACUAAGACACAAAGACACAAAUAAUACAAGACGCUCCAAGCAAAACACAUAUCAUGUUGGUGAAUAAAAAUAUAGCUCCAAGUAAAUUACCGAUGGAAGUGGACGAAAGAGGGGAUGCCUUCUAGGGCGUCCCCAAGCUUUGACUUUUUGGUGUCCUUGGAUUAUCUUGGGGGUGCCAUGGGUAUCCCCAAGCUUAGGCUCUUGCCACACCUUGUUCCAUAAUCCAUCAAAAGAAUUCACCCAAAACUUGAAAACUUCACAACACAAAACUUAAAGUAGAAAACUCGUGAGCUCCGUUAGCGAAAGAAAACAAAAGACCACUUCAAGGUACUGUAAUGAACUCAUUAUUUAUUUAUAUUGGUGUUAAACCUACUGUAUUCCAACUUCUCUAUGGAUUAUAAACUAUUUUACUAACCAUAGAUUCAUCAAAAUAAGCAAACAACACACGAAAAACAGAAUCUGUCAAAAACAGAACAGUCUGUGGUAAUCUGUAGCUAGUGCAAGAUCUGGAACCCCAAAAAUUCUAAAAUAAAUUGAUGGACGUGAGUAAUUUAUAUAUUAAUCAUAUUAAAAAAGAAUUAACUAAAUAUCACUCCUCAAAUAAAAAUGACAGCAGUUCUCGUGAGCGCUAAAGUUUCUGUUUUUUACAGCAAGUUCAACAAGACUUUCCCCAAGUCUUCCCAACGGUUCUACUUGGCACAAACACUAAUUAAACACAAAAAACACAACGAAAACAGAGGCUAAAUAAUUUAUUUAUUACUAAACAGGAGCAAAACGCAAGGAAUAAAAAUAAAAUUGGGUUGCCUCCCAACAAGCGCUAUCGUUUAACGCCCCUAGCUAGGCAUAAAAGCGAGGAUAGAUCUAGGUAUUGCCAUCUUUGGUAGGCAAUCCAUAAGUGGCUCUCAUGAUAGUUUCAUAUGGAAAUUUCAUUUUCUUUCUUGGAAAGUGUUCCAUGCCCUUUUUUAAUGGAAAUUGAAAUCUAAUAUUCCCUUCCUUCGUAUCAAUAAUCGCACCAACCGUGCUAAGGAAAGGUCUACCAAGAAUAAUAGGGCAAGAAGGAUUGCAAUCUAUAUCAAGAACAAUGAAAUCUAUGCGCACAUAAUUUCUAUUUGAAACAAUAAGAACAUCAUUAAUCCUUCCCAUAGGUUUCUUAAUAGUAGAAUCCGCAAGAUGCAAGUUUAGAGAGCAAUCAUCAAAAUUACGGAAAUCUAGCAAAUCACACAAAGUCUUGGGAAUAGUAGAGAUACUAGCAACCAAAUCACACAAAGCAUAAAACUCAUGAUCUUUAAUUUUAAUUUUAAUAGUUGGUUCCCACUCAUCAUAGAGUUUUCUAGGGAUAGAAACUUCCAAGUCAAGUUUUUCUUCAUAAGAUUGCAUCAAGGCAUCAACAAUAUGUUCGGUGAAGGCUUUAUGUUGACUAUAAGCAUGUGGAGAAUUUAGCACGGAUUGCAAUAAGGAAAUACAAUCAAUUAAAGAGCAACUUUCAUAAUUAAAUUCCUUGAAAUCCAAUAUAGUGGGUUUAGCAACAUCUAGAUUAAUAGUUGGUUCAUAUUGAGUUGAAAGUUGAGUUGAAAGUUUCUAUCCCUAGAAAAACUUCCAGGUUCUAAAACUUAAUAGUUGGUUCCCACUCAUCAUAAAGAUCUAAAUACUCCAAAUUUUUAGAACGCCUUCUAGGUAAAGGAAGAUCAUAUUAAGUUUCAUCAAGAUUCAUAUUGCAAAACAAAGAUUUAAUAGGAGACACAUCAAUAAGUUUUAGAUCUUCAUCUUGAUCUUCAUAGGAAUUCGGUUUAGCGGCCAUCUUAUUGACUAAGGUGGCUUGCAUAUCCGAAAUUCCAGCUGUCAUCUUUUCUAGACGAGCAAUUUGGGGUCCUAUACCAUCAAAUUCUUUAGACAUAUCAUCAAGCACUUUAUUCAUAUAACUCAUAAAACUUUUUUGUUCCUUAAGCUCGUUUCUAAAGAAAUUAUUAUGCUCAAAUUGCAAAACCAUAAACUUCCUAACGUUGGUUUCGAUCUCCUCUAACCUUUUAAGGUGAAGAUCACCAAAUCUCGGUUGAGCCAUCGCGACAAACAAGCAAUCUAACACAUGAGCAAAAAGGCAAGCGAGCAAAAGAGGCAAAUAGAGAGGGAGGAUAGAGAGAGAGAGGGGCGAAUAAAACGGCAAGGGUGAAGUGGGGGAGAGGAAAACGAGAGGCAAAUGGCAAAUAAUGUAAUGCGAGAGAUAGGGAUUGUGAUGGGUACUUGGUAUGUUGACUUUUUGGAUAGACUCCCCGGCAACGGCGCCAGAAAUCCUUCUUGCUACCUCUUGAGCUUGCGUUGGAUUUCCCCGAAGAGGAAGGGAUGAUGCAGCAGAGUAGCGUCAGUAUUUCCCUCAAUUUUUGAGAACCAAGGUAUCAAUCCAGUAGGAGGCCAUGCUCAAGUCCCUCGUACCUGCACAAAACGAUAGCUACUCGCAAACAACGCGAUUAGGGGUUGUCAAUCCCUUCACGGUCACUUACGAGAGUGAUCUCUGCCAUAGGUUUCACUAGUGGCUUCUCUCAAGAGCAUAAGUAUUCUACAGUGGGUGAACGAAUUACUGUUGAGCAAUUGACAGAAUUGAGCAUAGUUAUGAGAAUAUCUAGGCAUGAUCGUGUAUAUAGGCAUCACAUCCGUGACAAGUAGACUGAAACGAUUCUGCAUCUACUACUAUUACUCCACUCAUCGACCGCUAUCCAGCAUGCAUCUAGAGUAUUAAGUUAAAAACAGAGUAACGCCUUAAGCAAGAUGACAUGAUGUAGAGAGAUAAAUUCAUGCAAUAUGAAAUAAACCCCAUCUUGUUAUCCUCGAUGGCAACGAUACAAUACGUGCCUUGCUGCCCCUUCUGUCACUGGGAAAGGACACCGCAAGAUUGAACCCAAAGCUAAGCACUUCUCCCAUGGAAAGAACUACCAAUCUAGUUGGCCAAACCAAACGGAUAAUUCGAAGAGACUUGCAAAGAUAACCAAUCAUACAUAAAAUAAUUCAGAGAAGAUUCAAAUAUUAUUAAUAGAUAGACUUGAUCAUAAACCCACAAUUCAUCGGUCUCAACAAACACACCGCAAAAAGAAGAUUACAUCGAAUAGAUCUCCACAAGAGAGGGGGAGAACUUUGUAUUGAGAUCCAAAAAGAGAGAAGAAGACAUCUAGCUACUAACUAUGGACCCGAAGGUCUGAGGUAAACUACUCACACUUCAUCGGAGAGGCUAUGAUGAUGUAGAAGCCCUCCGUGAUGAUGGCCCUCUCCGGCGGAGCUCCGGAACAGGCCCCAAGAUGGGAUCUCGUGGAUACAAAAAGUUGCGGCGGUGGAAUUAGGUUUUUGGCUCCUGUUCUGAUCGUUUGGGGUAUGUAGGUAUAUAUAGGAGGAAGGAGUACGUCGGUGGAGCUCCGAGGGGCCCACGAGGCAGGGGGCGCGCCCUAGGGGGGUGCCCCCCACCCUUGUGACCGCAUCUCUGAUGCCUUGGCGUAGGGUCCAAGUCUCCUGGAUCACGUUCGGUGAGAAAAUCACGUUCCCGAAGGUUUCAUUCCGUUUGGACUCCGUUUGAUAUUCCGUUUCUUCGAAACACUGAAAUAGGCAAAAACAGCAAUUCCGGGCUGGGCCUCCGGUUAAUAGGUUAGUCCCAAAAAUAAUAUAAAAGUGGAAAAUAAAGCCUAAUAUAGUCCAAAACAGUAGAUAAUAUAGCAUGGAGCAAUCAAAAAUUAUAGAUACAUUGGAGACGUAUCACCAAGCCUGCUGCAGGAGCAACACCAGAUGUUAUGAACGUCUGGCAGAGCAAAGCUGAUGACUACUCGAUAGUUCAGUGUGCCAUGCUUUACGGCUUAGAACCGGGUCUUCAACGGCGUUUUGAACGUCAUGGACCAUAUGAGAUGUUCCAGGAGUUGAAGUUAAUAUUUCAAGCAAAUGCCCAGAUUGAGAGAUAUGAAGUCUCCAAUAAGUUCUAUAGCUGCAAGAUGGAGGAGAAUAGUUCUGUCAGUGAACAUAUACUCAAAAUGUCUGGGUAUCAUAAUCACUUGACUCAACUGAGAGUUAAUCUUCCUGUUGAUAGUGUCAUUGACAGAGUUCUUCAAUCACUGCCACCAAGCUACAAAAGCUUCAUGAUGAACUAUAAUAUGCAAGGGAUGAAUAAGACUAUUCCCGAGCUCUUCACGAUGCUAAAAGCCGCGGAGGUAGAAAUCAAGAAGGAGCAUCAAGGGUUGAUGGUUAAUAAGACCACCAGUUUCAAGAAAAAGGGCAAAGGGAAGAAGAAGGGGAACUUCAAGAAGAACAACAAACAACUUGCUGCUCAGGAGAAGAAACCCAAGUCUGGACCUAAGCCUGAGACUGAGUGCUUCUACUGCAAGCAGACUGGUCACUGGAAGCGGAACUGCCCCAGGUAUUUGGCAGAUAAGAAGGAUGGCAAAGUGAACAAAGGUAUAUGUGAUAUACAUGUUAUUGAUGUGUACCUUACUAAUGCUCGUAGUAGCACCUGGGUAUUUGAUACUGGUUCUGUUGCUAACAUUUGCAACUCAAAACAGGGGCUACAGAUUAAGCAAAUUGGCUAAGGACGAGGUGACGAUGCGCGUGGGAAAUGGUUCCAAAGUCGAUGUGAUCACGGUCGGCACGCUACCUCUACAUCGACCUUCGGGAUUAGUAUUAGACCUAAAUAAUUGUUAUUUGGUGCCAGCGUUGAGCAUGAACAUUUUAUCUGGAUCUUGUUUGAUGCGAGACGGAUAUUCAUUUAAAUCAGAGAAUAAUGGUUGUUCUAUUUAUAUGAGUAAUAUCUUUUAUGGUCAUGCACCCUUGAAGAGUGGUCUAUUUUUGCUAAGUCUCAAUAGUGGUGAUACACAUAUUCAUAAUAUUGAAGCCAAAAGAUGCAGAGUUGAUAAUGAUAGUGCAACUUAUUUGUGGCACAGCCAUUUAGGUCAUAUCGGAGUAAAGCGCAUGAAGAACCUCCAUACUGAUCGACUUUUGGAACAACUUGAUUAUGAAUCACUUGGUACUUGCGAACCAUGCCUCAUGGGCAAGAUGACUAAAACGUCGUUCUCCGGAACUAUGGAGAGAGCAACAGAUUUGUUGGAGAUCAUACAUACAGAUGUAUGUGGUCCAAUGAAUGUUGAGGCUCGUGACGGAUAUCGUUAUUUUCUCACCUUCACAGAUGAUUUAAGCAGAUAUGGAUAUAUCUACUUAAUGAAACAUAAGUCUGAAACAUUUGAAAAGUUCAAAGAAUUUCAGAGUGAAGUUGAAAAUCAUCGUAACAAGAAAAUAAAGUAUCUACGAUCUAAUCGUGGAGGAGAAUAUUUGAGUUAUGAGUUUGGUCUUCAUUUGAAACAAUGCGGAAUAGUUCCACAACUCAUGCCACCCGGAACACCACAGCGUAAUGGUGUGUCCGAACGUCGUAAUCGUACUUUACUAGAUAUGGUGCGAUCUAUGAUGUCUCUUACUGAUUUACCGCUAUCGUUUUGGGGAUAUGCUUUAGAGACGGCCGUAUUCACCUUAAAUAGGGCACCAUCGAAAUCCGUUGAGACGAUGCAUUAUGAACUAUGGUUUGGUAAGAAACCAAAGUUGUCGUUUCUGAAAGUUUGGGGUUGCGAUGCUUAUGUGAAAAAGCUUCAACCUGAUAAGCUCGAACCCAAAUCGGAGAAAUGUGUCUUCAUAGGGUACCCAAAGGAGACUGUUGGGUACACCUUCUAUCACAGAUCCGAAGGCAAGACUUUUGUUGCUAAAUUCGGAGUUUUUCUAGAGAAGGAGUUUCUCUCAAAAGAAGUGAGUGGGAGGAAAGUAGAACUUGAUGAGAUAAUUGUACCUGCUCCCUUAUUGGAAAGUGGUUCAUCAAAGAAAAUGGUUUCUGCGACACCUACACCAAUUAGUGAAGAAGUUAAUGAUGAUGAUCAUGAAACUUUAGAUCAAGUUGUUACUGAACCUCGUAGGUCAACUAGAGUAAGAUCCGCACCAGAGUGGUACGGUAAUCCUAUUCUGGAAAUUAUGUUACUAGACCAUGACGAACCUACGAACUAUGAAGAAGCGAUGGUGAGCCCAGAUUUCGCAAAAUGGCUUGAGGCCAUGAAAUCUGAGAUGGGAUCCAUGUAUGAGAACAAAGUGUGAACUUUGGUUGACUUCCCCGUUGAUCGGCAAGCAAUUGAAAAUUAAUGGAUCUUCAAGAAGAAGAUUGACGCUGACGGUAAUGUUAUUGUUUAUAAAGCUCGACUUGUUGCAAAAGGUUUUCGACAAGUUCAAGGGAUUGACUACGAUGAGACAUCCUCACCUGUAGCAAUGCUUAAGUCUGUCCAAAUCAUGUUAGCAAUUGCCGCAUUUUAUGAUUAUGAAAUUUGGCAAAUGGAUGUCAAAACUGCAUUCCUGAAUGGAUUUCUGGAAGAAGAGUUGUAUAUGAUGCAACCAGAAGGUUUUGUCGAUCCAAAGGGAGCUAACAAAGUGUGCAAGCUCCAACGAUCCAUUUAUGGACUGGUGCAAGCCUCUCGGAGUUGGAAUAAACGCUUUGAUACUGUUAUCAAAGCAUUUGGUUUUAUACAGACUUUGGGAGAAGCUUGUAUUUACAAGAAAGUGAGUGGGAGCUCUGUACCAUUUCUGAUAUUAUAUCUGGAUGAUAUAUUACUGAUUUGAAAUGAUAUAGAAUUUCUGGAUAGCAUAAAGGGAUACUUGAAUAAAAGUUUUUCUAUGAAAGACCUCGGUGAAGCUGCUUACAUAUUGGGCAUCAAGAUCUAUAGAGAUAGAUCAAGACGCUUAAUUGGACUUUCACAAAGCACAUACCUUGACAAAGUUUUGAAAAAGUUCAAAAUGGAUCAAGCAAAUAAAGGGUUCUUGCCUGUGUUACAAGGUGUGAAGUUGAGUAAGACUCAAUGCCCGACCACUACAGAAGAUAGAGAGAAGAUGAAAGAUGUUCCCUAUGCUUCAGCCAUAGGCUGUAUCAUGUAUGCAAUGUUGUGUACCAGACCUGAUGUGUGCCUUGCUAUAAGUCUAGCAGGGAGGUACCAAAGUAAUCCAGGAGUGGAUCACUGGACAACGGUCAAGAACAUACUGAAAUACCUGAAAAGGACUAAGGAUAUGUUUCCCGUUUAUGGAGGUGACAAAUAGCUCAUCGUAAAUGGUUACGUUGACGCAAGCUUUGACACUGAUCCGGACGAUUCUAAAUCGCAAACCGGAUACGUGUUUAUAUUAAAUAGUGGAGCUGUCAGUUGGUGCAGUUCUAAACAAAGAGUCAUGGCGGGAUCUACGUGUGAAGCGGAGUACAUAGCUGCUUCGGAAGCAGCAAAAGAAGGAGUCUGGAUGAAGGAGUUCAUAUCCGAUCUAGGUGUCAUACCUAGUGCAUGGGGUCUAAUGAAAAUCUUUUGUGACAAUACCGGUGCAAUUGCCUUGGCGAAGGAAUCCAGAUUUCACAAGAGAACCAAGCACAUCAAGAGACGCUUCAAUUCCAUCCGGGAUUUAGUCUAGGUGGGAGACAUAGAAAUUUGCAAGAUACAUGCGGAUCUGAAUGUUGCAGACCCAUUGACUAAGCCUCUUCCACGAGCAAAACAUGAUCAGCACCAAGGCUCCAUGGGUGUUAGAAUCAUUACUGUGUAAUCUAGAUUAUUGACUCUAGUGCAAGUGGGAGACUGAAGGAAAUAUGCCCUAGAGGCAAUAAUAAAGUUAUUGUUUAUUUCCUUAUUUCAUGAUAAAUGUUUAUUAUUCAUGCUAGAAUUGUAUUAAUCGGAAACAUAAUACAUGUGUGAAUACAUAGACAAACAGAGUGUCACUAGUAUGCCUCUACUUGACUAGCUCGUUGAUCAAAGAUGGUUAAGUUUCCUAACCAUCGACAUGAGUUGUCAUUUGAUUAACGGGAUCACAUCAUUAGGAGAAUGAUGUGAUUGACUUGACCCAUUCCGUUAGCUUAGCACUUGAUCGUUUAGUUUGUUGCUAUUGCUUUCUUCAUGACUUAUACAUGUUCCUGUGACUAUGAGAUUAUGCAACUCCCGUUUACCGGAGGAACACUUUGUGUGCUACUGAUAACCCACAAGUAUAGGGGAUCGCAACAGCUUUCGAGGGUAGAGUAUUCAACCCAAAUUUAUUGAUUCGACACAAGGGGAGCCAAAGAAUAUUCUCAAGUAUUAGCAGCUGGGUUGUCAAUUCAACCACACCUGGAAACUUAGUAUCUGAAGCAAAGUGUUUAGUAGCAAAGUAAUAUGAUAGUGGUGGUAGCGGCAACAAAAGUAAAGACAGCAAAAGUAAUGUUUAUGGUAUUUUGUAGUGAUUGUAACAGUAGCAACGGAAAAGUAAAUAAGCGUAAACCAGUAUAUGGAAAACUCGUAGGCACCGGAUUAGUGAUGGAUAAUUAUGCCGGAUGCGGUUCAUCAUGUAACAGUCAUAACAUAGGGCGACACAGAACUAGCUCCAGUUCAUCAAUGUAAUGUAGGCAUGUAUUCCGUAUAUAGUCAUACGUGCUUAUGGAAAAGAACUUGCAUGACAUCUUUUGUCCUACCCUCCCGUGGCAGCGGGGUCCUAUUGGAAACUAAGGGAUAUUAAGGCCUCCUUUUAAUAGAGAACCGAACAAAGCAUUAGCACAUAGUGAAUACAUGAACUCCUCAAACUAUGGUCAUCACCGGGAGUGGUCCCGAUUUUUGUCACUUCGGGGUUACCGGAUCAUAACACAUAGUAGGUGACUAUAGACUUGCAAGAUAGGAUCUAGAACUCUCAUAUAUUGAUGAAAACAUAAUAGGUUCAGAUCUGAAAUCAUGGCACUCGGGCCCUAGUGACAAGCAUUAAGCAUAGCAAAGUCAUAGCAACAUCAAUCUCAGAACAUAAUGGAUACUAGGGAUCAAACCCUAACAAAACUAACUCAAUUACAUGAUAAAUCUCAUCCAACCCAUCGCCGUCCAGCAAGCCUACGAUGCAAUUACUCACGCGCGAUGGUGAGCAUCAUGAAAUUAGUGAUGGAGGAUGGUUGAUGAUGACGACGGCGACGAGUCCCCCUCUCCGGAGCCCCGAACGGACUCCAGAUCAGCCCUCUCGAGAGGUUUUAGGGCUUGGCGGCGGCUCCGUAUCGUAAAACGCGAUGAUUUCUUCUCUCUGAUUUUUUUCUCUCUGAAAGCAAAUAUAUAGAGUUGGAGUUGGCGUCGAAGGGUCAACAGGGGGCCCAUGAGGUAGGGGGUGCGCCCUAGGGGGGCGCUCCCCCCACCCUCGUGGAAAGGGUGUGGGCCCCCUGGUCUUCAUAUUUGGCGAGGAUUUUUUAUUGCUUUUUCUAAGACCUCCCGUGGAGUUUCAGGUCAUUCCGAGAAUAUUUGUUUUCUGCACAUAAAACAACAUCAUGGUAAUUCUGCUGAAAACAGUGUUAGUCCGGGUUAGUUCCAUUCAAAUCAUACAAGAUAGAGUCCAAAACAAGGGCAAAAGUGUUUGGAAAAGUAGAUACGACGGAGACGUAUCAACUCCCCCAAGCUUAAACCCUUGCUUGUCCUCAAGCAAUUCAGUUGACAAACUGAAAGAAAGAAAGAAAAACUUUUACAAACCAAGUUUGCUCUUGUUGUUGUAACUAUGUCAAGCCAGCAUUCAAGUUUUCAGCAUAAAUCAUAACUAACCACAUUUGCAAUAAUUCUUAGGUCUCAUCAUUACUCAUAUCAAUAGCAUAAUCAACUAGCAAGUAAUAAUAAUAAAUCUCGAAUGACAACACUUUCUCAAAACUAUCAUAAUAUGAUAUAACAAGAUGGUAUCUCGCUAGCCCUUUCUGAGACCGCAAAACAUAAAUGCAGAGCACCUUUAAAGAUCAAGGACUGACUAGAAAUUGUAAUUCAUGGUAAAAGAGAUCCAAUCAUAGUCAUACCCAACAUAAAUUAAUAGUGAUGAAUGCAAAUGAUGGAUGUGCUCUCCAGCUAGUGCUUUUUAAUAAGAGGGUGAUGACUCAGCAUAAAAGUAAAUGGAUAGGCCCUUCGCUGAGGGAAGCAGGGAUUUGUAGAGGUGACAGAGCUCGGUUUUGAAAUAGAGGUAAAUUGUAUUUUGAGCGGUAUACUUUCAUUUUCAACGUAACAACUAAGAGAUGGCGAUAUCUUCCAUGCUAAGCACAUUAUAGGCGGUUCCCAAAUAGAAUGAUAAAGUUUAUACUCCCCCUCCACCAACAAGCAUCAAUCCAUGGCUUGCUCGAAACAACGAGUGCCUCCAACAUACAUCAGGUCCCAGGGGGAGUUUUGUUUGCAAUUAAUUUUGAUUUAGUUCGCAUAAAGCAUGGGACUAGGCAUCCCGAUCACCAGCCAUUUUCUCGUGAGUGAGGAGCGGAGUCCACUCCUCUUGAGAAUAACCCGCCUAACACGGAAGAUAAGGACAGCCUUUGUUGAUACAUGAGCUAUUCGAGCAUACAAAACAGAAUGUUUAUUUGAAGGUUUAGAGUUUGGCACAUACAAAUUUGCUUGGAACGGCAGGUAGAUACCGCAUAUAGGAAGGUAUGGUGGACUCAUCUGGAAUAACUUUGGGGUAUAAGGGAUUGGAUGCACAAGCAGUAUUCCCGCUUAGUACAGGUGAAGGCUAGCAAAAGACUGGGAAGCGACCAACUAGAGAGCGACAACAGCCAUGUACAUGCAUUAAAAUUAAUAAACAUUGGAUGCAAGCAUGAGUAGGAUAUAAUCCACCAUGAACAUAAAUAUCGUGAAGGCUGUGUUGAUUUUGUUUCAACUACAUGCGUGAACAUGUGCCAAGUCAAGUCACUUAAAUCAUUCAAAGGAGGAUACCACCCCAUCAUACCACAUCAUAAUCAUCUCAAUAGCAUGUUGGCAUACAAGGUAAAUCAUUAUAACUCAUAGCUAAUCAAGCAUGGCACAAGCAACUAUGAUCUCUAAUUGUCAUUGCAAACAUGUUUAUUCAUAAUAAGCUGAAUCAAGAACGAUGGACUCAUCAUAUUUACAAAAACGAAAGAGGUCGGGUUCAUACCAGCUUUUCUCAUCUCAGUCAGUCCAUCAUAUAUCAUCAUAAUUGCCUUUCACUUGCACGACCGAACGGCGUGAAUAAUAAUAAGAGUGCACGUGCAUUGGACUAAGCUGGAAUCUAUGAGCAUUAAAUAAAUAGGAGAAGACAAGGCAAUAUGGGCUCUUGGUUAAAUCAAUCAAUAAUGCAUAUAAGAGUCACUUCAACAAUUUAAUUAUGAUCUUCUCCUACUGACCCCCAAGAAAGGAAAAGAAAUAAAACUAUUUACACGGGAAAGCUCCCAACAAGCGAAAGAAGAACGGGAAAUAUUUUUGGGUUUUCUUUUUAAUUAUUACUACUACAGCAGACAAAUAAACUACUACUAUUUUUUUUUGGUUUUUCUUAAGGUUAAGCAAACACACAAGAAGAAAGCAGGAAAAAGAAAAUAAACUAGCAUGGAUAUUAUAGUGAAAAAGUAUGAACACUGACAUCUAGCAAUGAGUGUGUGUGAACAUAAAUGUAAUGUCGGUGAGAAAUACGUACUCCCCCAAACUUAGGCUUUUGGCCUAAGUUGGUCUAUGGCCACGGCUGGCCUGGCGGAUAUCCAUAAUAAUAGUUGUUGGGGUCGUACUGCGAUGAGGAGGAAUAGUUGGGAUCAUACUGAUGUGCAACGGUUAUUGCCUGCUGAGCUGCAACGUGGAGUCGGGCUGCCUCCACUCUCCUCUCGUACUCUUCUGCCUCCUCUCUGGUAAUAACAUAUCUUCCUUUUGUCUGUAAAUCAAGAAGGCAGGAGCAGGGAGAGUAAUACGGAAAACACGUCGUUUAUCAAAAAUUAAGCGAUAUAAGAGAGGUGAUUCAGGCCUCUCGACAAACUGGUGCGAAGCCAUAGAGUUAUAAUCUAAAUAUGCAGGAGGCAACUCCAUAUCACCCUCACGAAUGUCUAUUUCAAGAAAAUGAGCUAAGCAAGUUGCACAAAUUCCUCCAAAGAAAUCUCCAUUAUGUCUAUUAUGAUGCAACCUAUGAGCUACAAUGGCUCCCAUAUGAUAAGAUUGGUCUCCUAACACAGCACUCCUAAGAAUGCUGAGAUCAGGUACACACAUGUGACAUGCUUCAUCCUUAGCAUUUAUGCAUCUACCAAUGAAAAGAGCAAAAUAAUGUAUAGCAGGAAAGUGAAUGCUCCCUAUGGUAGCCUGCGUUAUAUCUCUGGAUUCCCCCACAGUUAUACUAGCAAGAAAGUUUCUAAAUUCAGAUUUAGGGGGAUCCCUAACACUGCCCCAUGAUGGAAGUUCGCAAGCAGAAGUGAAAUCCUCUAGGUCCAUGGUAUAAGAUUUGUCAUAAAUAUCAAACAUGACUGAAGGAGAAUUACGCGAAGAUGAAUACUCAAACCUCCUCACAAAUGAACUUGUGAGAUCAUGAUACUCGGGGCAUUUGUUAGCCUCAAAAUCUUCAAGACCGACAUUGCGCAAAUAUGAUUUGAAUUCUUCUUUCAUUCCCGCAUGGUCCAUAAAAUUUUCCGACGGCCAUUGGCAAGGCCGUACUGGAGCGUCUCUUGGUGGAUCCUCGUCAGCAUUGCGCAUAGCAAUUCUGGGUCCUUGCUUCUUAGAGGAACCACCUUGGAACAUCUUCCUAAACAUAUUGUUUUUCUAUGAAAAAUUCUGAAAUUUUUAGUAACUUCGAAAUAAAAGUGAACCAAACUCAAUUAAACUGAUAGCAACUACUCCUACAAGUGCCUAGAGCCUAUAUCAAGCAUUAGAACUACUAGGAACCAUAUAAAUUUGACAUGCAAGCUCAAGAAAAUGGUCACCUAUGCAGCACAAAUUUGCAAAGAAUAAAGUACUAGAACACAAACUAAUUGGACCAAUGGAGGAGUCACAUACCAAGGAACAAUCUCUCCAAGCAGUUUUGCGAGAGGUGCUUUGAGCAAGGAGAUCGAAAAUCGCAGCAAAAGUGGCUGGAACUCGUGCUUGAGUUGGUUUUUCGGGUUUGUGUGAGAUAGAGGAAGAAGAUGGGUGCUGGAAUAAGUGGAGGAGGGCCACCGUGGGUCCACGAGGCAGGGGGCGUGCCCUAUAGGGGGGGGGGCGCCCACCACCCUCGUCACUAGGUGGCAGCUCCUCCCGCGGUAAUUUUUGCACAGUAAAUCCUCAAAUAUUCCCAAAAAAAUCAUAUUAAAUUGGCAUGGCAUUCUGAGGAUUUUUAUUUUCGGGAUAUUUUUAUAUUGCACGGAUAAGUCAGGAAACAGACAGAAAAAUACUAUUUUUACUUUAUUUAAUAUAAAUAACAGAAAAUAUAAAGAGGGUACAGAAGUUUGUGCUUCUAGUUUCAUCCAUCUCAUUCUCAUCAAAAAGAAUCCACUAAUAAGGUUGAUCAAGUCUUGUUAACAAACCCAUUCCGAUAAUCAUGAAACCAGAGAAAUUUCAAAUGACACUAAGUUACCUCAAUGGGGAUAUGCACAUCCCCAAUAAUAAGAAUAUCAUAUUUCUUUUUGACAGUAGGAAGAGGAAAUUCAAAACCUCCAAAUAUAAUCGAUGGAAUUUUUCCAAUAGAGUUGAUACUAUGAACUUGAGGUUGUUUCCUCGGAAAGUGUACCGUAUGCUCAUUACCAUUAACAUGAAAAGUGACAUUGCCUUUGUUGCAAUCAAUAACAGCCCCUGUAGUAUUAAGAAAAGGUCUUCCAAGAAUAAUAGACAUACUAUCAUCCUCGGGAAUAUCAAGUAUAACAAAGUCCGUUAAAAUAGUAACGUUUGCAACCACAACAGGCACAUCCUCACAAAUACCGACAGGUAUAGCAGUUGAUUUAUCAGCCAUUUGCAAAGAUAUUUCAGUAGGUGUCAACUUAUUCAAGUCAAGUCUACGAUAUAAAGAGAGAGGCAUAACACUAACAUCGGCUCCAAGAUCACAUAAAGCAGUUUUAAUAUAAUUUCUUUUAAUGGAGCAAGGUAUAGUAGGUACUCCGGGGUCUCCAAGUUUCUUUGGUAUUCCACCCUUAAAAGUAUAAUUAGCAAGCAUGGUGGAAAUCUCAGCUUCCGGUAUCUUUUUUUAUUAGUAAUGAUAUCUUUCAUAUAUUUAGCAUAAGGAUUCCUUUUGAGCACAUUAGUUAAUCUCAUACGCAAAAGAUAGGCCUAAUCAUUUCAGCAAAGCGCUCAAAAUCCUCAUCAUCCUUUUUCUUGGAUGGUUUCGGAGGAAAAGGCAUGGGUUUCUGAACCCAAGGUUCCCUUUCUUUACCAUGUUUCCUAGCAACAAAGUCUCUUUUAUCAUAACGUUGAUUCUUUGAUUGUGGGUUAUCAAGAUCAACAACAGGUUCAAUUUCUACAUCAUUAUCAUUACUAGGUUGAGCAUCAUCAUGAACAUCAUCAUUAAUAUUUUUACUAGGUUCAUGUUCAUUACCAGAUUGUGUUUCAGCAUCAGACAUAGAAAUAUCAUUUGGAUUAGCAGGUGGUUCAGCAAUAGGUUCACUAGAAGUUUGCACAGUUCUAUCAUUUUUCUUCUUCUUUUUAGAAGAACUAGGAACAACAAUAUUAUUUCUUUGAGAAUCUUGAUCGAUUCUCUUAGGGUGGCCAUCAGGAUACAAAGGUUCCUGGGUCAUUCUACCAGUUCUAGUAGCCACUCUAACAGCAUAAUCAUUUUUCUUACUAUUCAUUUCAUUAAGCACUUCUUUUUGAGCUUUAAGUACUUGUUCUACUUGAGUGGUGACCAUAGAAGCAUGUUUGCUAAUAAGUUUAAGUUCACCUUUAAUAUCAGCCAUAUAAUCACCCAAGCAUCUAAUCAUAUAAGCAUUUUCUUUUAAUUGUCUACCAAAAUAAGCAUUGAAGUCAUCUUGCUUAUACAUAAAGUUAUCAAACUCAUCCAAGCACUGACUAGCAAUUUUAGUAGGAGGGACUUCAGCUUUAUCAUAUCUAUAGAGAGAAUUUACCUUUACUACAUGUGUCGGGAUAUCGGGAUCAGGAGGUUCUUCAGUAAAUAAAUGAUUGAGAUCAUAAGUUUCUUCAACAGGCGACGAAUUAAGACCAUGUAUUUCUUCAAUAGGAGGUAAAUUCUUAACGUCUUCAGCUUUAAUACCUUUUUCUUUCAUAGAUUUCUUUGCCUCUUGCAUAUCUUCGGGACUGAGAAAUAGAACACCUCUCUUCUUCGGAGUUGGUUUAGGAAUAGGCUCAGUAAUUGGAGCAGGAGUUGGAUCAGGAGGUGGCUCAGGAGGUGCCCAAUUAUUUUCAUUUGUCAACAUAUUAUUCAAUAGAAUUUCAGCAUCAUCCGGUGUUCUUUCCCUGAAAAGAGAACCAACACAACUAUCCAGGUAAUCUCUAGAAGCAUCGGUUAGUCCAUUAUAAAAGAUAUCAAGUAUUUCAGAUUUCUUAAGAGGAUGAUCAGGCAAAGCAUUAAGUAACUUGAGAAACCUCCCCCAAGCUUGUGGGAGACUCUCUUCUUUAAUUUGCACAAAGUUGUAUAUUUCCCUCAAAGCAGCUUGUUUCUUAUGAGCAGGGAAAUAUUUAGUAGAGAAGUAAUAAAUCAUAUCCUGGGGACUACGCACACAACCAGGAUCAAGAGAAUUAAACCAUAUCUUAGCAUCGCCCUUUAAUGAGAAUGGAAAUAUUUUGAGUAAAUAGAGGUAACAUGAUCUCUCAUUAUUAGUGAACAGGGCAGCUAUAUCAUUUAACUUAGUAAGAUGUGCCACAACAAUUUCAGAUACAUAGCCAUAAAACGGAUCAGAUUCAACCAAAGUAAUUAUAUCAGGAUCAACAGAGAAUUCAUAAACUUUAUCAGGAACACAUAUAGGUGAAGUAGCAAAAGCAGGAUCGGGUUUCAUUUUAUCUCUAAGUGAUUCUUUGUUCCAUUUAAUUAAAAACCUCUUAAGCUCAUAUCUAUCUCUGCAAGCUAAAAUAGCUAAAGAAGCAUCUUGAUCAAAUAAAUAACCCUCAGGAAUAACAGGCAUAUUUUCAUCAUCACUAUCAUCAUCGUAUUCAGAUUCAAUAAUUUCUUUUUCUCUAGCCCUAGCAAUUUGUUCUUCUAGAAAAUCACUAAGUGGCACAGUAGUAUCAGGCAUAGAAACAGUUUCAUCAUAAGUAUCAUGCAUAGUAGAAGUGGCAUCAUCAAUAACAUGAGACAUAUCAGAACGAAUAGCAGAAGCAGAUGUAGGUGUCACAAACUUACUCAUAACAGAAGGUGAAUCAAGUGCAGAGCUAGAUGGCAGUUCCUUACCUCCCCUCAUAGUUGAGGGAUAGAUCUUGGUUUUUGGAUCUCUCAAGUUCUUCAUAGUGUCCAGCAGAUAUAAAUCCCAAGUGACUCAAAGAAUAGAGCUAUGCUCCCCGGCAACGCCGCCAGAAAUGAGUCUUGAUAACCCACAAGUAUAGGGGAUCGCAACAGCUUUCGAGGGUAGAGUAUUCGACCCAAAUUUAUUGAUUCGACACAAGGGGAGCCAAAGAAUAUUCUCAAGUAUUAGUAGCUGAGUUGUCAAUUCAACCACACCUGGAAACUUACUAUCUGCAGCAAAGUGUUUAGUAGCAAAGUAAUAUGAUAGUGGUGGUAGCAGCAACAAAAGUAAAGACAGCAAAAGUAAAAUUUUUGGUAUUUUGUAGUGAUUGUAACAGUAGCAACGGAAAAGUAAAUAAGCGUAAACCAGUAUAUGGAAACCUCGUUGGCACCGGAUCAGUGAUGGAUAAUUAUGUCGGAUGCAGUUCAUCAUGUAACAGUCAUAACAUAGGGCGACACAGAACUAGCUCCAGUUCGUCAAUGUAAUGUAGGCAUGUAUUCCGUAUAUAGUCAUACGUGCUUAUGGAAAAGAACUUGCAUGACAUCUUUUGUCCUACCCUCCUGUGGCAGCGGGGUCCUAUUGGAAACUAAGGGAUAUUAAGGCAUCCUUUUAAUAGAGAACUGGAACAAAGCAUUAGCACAUAGUGAAUACAUGAACUCCUCAAACUAUGGUCAUCAUCGGGAGUGGUCCCGAUUAUUGUCACUUUGGGGUUGCCGGAUCAUAACACAUAGUAGGUGACUAUAGACUUGCAAGAUAGGAUCUAGAACUCUCAUAUGUUGAUGAAAAUAUAAUAGGUUCAGAUCUGAAAUCAUGGCACUCGGGCCCUAGUGACAAGCAUUAAGCAUAGCAAAGUCAUAGCAACAUCAAUCUCAGAACAUAAUGGAUACUAGGGAUCAAACCUAACAAAACUAACUCGACUACAUGAUAAAUUUCAUCCAACCCAUCACCGUCCAGCAAGCCUACGAUGCAAUUACUCACGCAUGGCGGUGAGCAUCAUGAAAUUGGUGAUGGAGGAUGGUUGAUGAUGACGACGGCGACGAAUCCCCCUCUGCGGAGCCUCGAACGGACUCCAGAUCAGCCCUCCCGAGAGGUUUUAGGGCUUGGUGGCGGCUCCGUAUCGUAAAACGCGAUGAUUUAUUCUCUCUGAUUUUUUCUCUCCGAAAGCAAAUAUAUAGAGUUGGAGUUGGCUACGGAGGGUCCACAGGGGGCCCACGAGGUAGGGGGCGCGCCGUAGGGGGGCCCACCCUCGUGGAAAGGGUGUGGGCCCCCUGGUCUUCAUAUUUGGCGAGGAUUUUUAUUUGUUUUUUCUAAGACCUCCCGUGGAGUUUCAGGUCAUUACGAGAAUAUUUGUUUUUUGCACAUAAAACAACAUCAUGGUAAUUCUGCUGAAAACAACGUCAGUCCGGAUUAGUUCCAUUCAAAUCAUACAAGAUAGAGUCCAAAACAAGGGCAAAAGUGUUUGGAAAAGUAGAUACGACGGAGACGUAUCAGCUACCAAACGUCACAACGUAACUGGGUGAUUAUAAAGGUGCUCUACAGGUGUCUCCAAAGGUACUUGUUGGGUUGGGGUAUUUCGAGAUUAGGAUUUGUCACUCCGAUUGUCGGAGAGGUAUCUCUGGGCCCACUCAGUAAUGCACAUCACUAUAAGCCUUGCAAGCAUUGCAACUAAUGAGCUAGUUGCGGGAUGAUGUAUUACGGAACGAGUAAGGAGACUUGCCGGUAACGUUAUUGAACUAGGUAUUGAGAUACCGACGAUCGAAUCUCGAGCAAGUAACAUACCGAUGACAAAGAGAACAACGUAUGUUGUUAUGCGGUAUGACCGAUAAAGAUCUUCGUAGAAUAUGUAGGAGCCAAUAUGGGCAUCCAGGUCCUGCUAUUGGUUAUUGAUCAGAGAGGUGUCUCGGUCAUGUCUACAUAGUUCUCGAACCCAUAGGGUCCGCACGCUUAACGUUCGUUGACGAUAUAGUACUAUAUGAGUUAUGUAUGUUGAUGACCGAAUGUUGUUCGGAGUCCGGGAUGAUAUCACAGACAUGAUGAGGAACUCCGGAAUGGUCCGAAGAUAAAGUUUGAUAUAUGGGAUAAUAGUGUUUGGUCACUGGAAGGGUUCCGGAAUUCACCGGAAAGGGUUCCGGAUGUUUCCCGAAAUGUUUGGGUGCAAGAACACUUUAUUUGGGCCAAUGGGGAAAGCCCACAAGGUUUUUGGAAAGCGCAAAAGGAAGCUUUGCGGAGUCCAGGGGCCAGACGCCAGGGUCCCUGGCGUCUGGGUCCAGACGCCGGGAACCCUGGCGUCUGGCCCUGGAGUCCGAGAAGGACUCUUGCUUUUCGGGUGAAACUGACUUUGUGGAGGCUUUUACUCCAAGUUUUGACCCCAAGGCUCAACAUAUAAAUAGAGGGGUAGGGCUAGCACCCAAGACACAUUAAGAAACACCAAGCCGUGUGCCGACAACCCCGUCCCCUCUAGUUUAUCCUCCGUCCUAGUUUUCGUAGUGCUUAGGCGAAGCUCUUCGGAGAUUGUUCUUCACCAACACCGUCACCACGCCGUCGUGCUGUCAGAACUCAUCUACUACUUCGCCCCUCUUGCUAGAUCGAGAAGGCGAGGACGUCACCGAGCCGAACGUCUGCAGAACUCUGAGGUGCCGGGCUUUCGGUACUUGGAUCGGUCGGAUCAUGAAGACGUACGACUACAUCAACCGCGUUGAUAUAACGCUUCCGCGAACGGUCUAUGAGGGUACGUAGACAACACUCUCCCCUCUCGUUGCUAUGCAUCACCAUGAUCUUGCGUGUGUGUAGGAAAUUUUUGAAAUUACUACGUUCCCCAACAGUGCUCUGUUCACCUAGACAAAGUCAAGGGUAAAUCUCAGGCUAUUUGACUGAGCCAGUGAAUUAACAUGGAUAUCUCUCAUUUUCAUACGACAUUCAUAAUCUUCAAUGUAACGAAGGCAAGCACAGGUGCAUUAAACGGUGGAGCGAGAUAAGUUGAAUCUGAGAUCUACAAAAAUACCUCUGCAGGCAGAACGGACGGGGCAGCAAGCGGUAGAAAUCGUCGUCAAGGAAGACGGAAGGG